RNAcentral lists this ribosomal RNA (492 nucleotides) under uncultured bacterium. RNAcentral's name for it is "bacterial SSU rRNA". It matches the Rfam family "Bacterial small subunit ribosomal RNA", at positions 350 to 842 of the family's 1533-position model. The record is from RNAcentral.
AGCAGUGAGGAAUAUUGGUCAAUGGGCGUAAGCCUGAACCAGCCAAGUCGCGUGAGGGAUGAAGGUUCUAUGGAUCGUAAACCUCUUUUAUAAGGGAAUAAAGUGUGGGACGUGUCCUAUUUUGUAUGUACCUUAUGAAUAAGGAUCGGCUAACUCCGUGCCAGCAGCCGCGGUAAUACGGAGGAUCCGAGCGUUAUCCGGAUUUAUUGGGUUUAAGGGGUGCGUAGGCGGCCUUUUAAGUCAGCGGUGAAAGUCUGUGGCUCAACCAUAGAAUUGCCGUUGAAACUGGGGGGCUUGAGUAUGUUUGAGGCAGGCGGAAUGCGUGGUGUAGCGGUGAAAUGCUUAGAUAUCACGCAGAACCCCGAUUGCGAAGGCAGCCUGCCAAGCCAUGACUGACGCUGAUGCACGAAAGCGUGGGGAUCAAACAGGAUUAGAUACCCUGGUAGUCCACGCAGUAAACGAUGAUCACUAGCUGUUUGCGAUACAGUGUAA